RNAcentral lists this ribosomal RNA (811 nucleotides) under uncultured bacterium. RNAcentral's name for it is "bacterial SSU rRNA". It matches the Rfam family "Bacterial small subunit ribosomal RNA", at positions 59 to 869 of the family's 1533-position model. The record is from RNAcentral.
CAGCCGAACGGCAAGCCUUUUAGCAAUAGAAGGCCUAGAGUGGCGUAAGGGUGCGUAACACGUAUGCAAUCUGCCCUCAACAGGAGGAUAGCUCCCCGAAAGGGGAAUUAAGACUCCAUAAGAUCACGCGAAGGCAUCUGAGAGUGAUUAAAGUACAAGCGGUUGAGGAUGAGCAUGCGCAUGAUUAGUUAGUUGGCGGGGUAACGGCCCACCAAGACGAUGAUCAUUAGGGGAACUGAGAGGUUGAUCCCCCACACUGGCACUGAGAUACGGGCCAGACUCCUACGGGAGGCAGCAGUAGGGAAUAUUGGACAAUGGGUGCAAGCCUGAUCCAGCCAUGCCGCGUGCAGGAAGACGGCCUUCUGGGUUGUAAACUGCUUUUGCCAGGGGAUAAAAACACUGUGCGCAGUGGAUUGAAGGUACCUGGUGAAUAAGCCACGGCUAACUACGUGCCAGCAGCCGCGGUAAUACGUAGGUGGCAAGCGUUGUCCGGAUUUAUUGGGUUUAAAGGGUGCGUAGGCGGCCCUGUAAGUCAGUGGUGAAAUACGGCAGCUCAACUGUCGAGGUGCCAUUGAUACUGCAGGGCUUGAGUACAGACGAGGUAGGCGGAAUUGACGGUGUAGCGGUGAAAUGCUUAGAUAUCGUCAAGAACACCGAUAGCGAAGGCAGCUUACUAGGCUGUAACUGACGCUGAGGCACGAAAGUGUGGGGAUCAAACAGGAUUAGAUACCCUGGUAGUCCACACUGUAAACGAUGAUUACUCGAUGUUGGCGAUACACAGCCAGCGUCUUAGCGAAAGCGAUAAGUAAUC